Molecule: ribosomal RNA, 446 nt
Filed under: uncultured bacterium
Lineage: Bacteria
Description: partial 16S ribosomal RNA
Rfam family: Bacterial small subunit ribosomal RNA
Source: RNAcentral
CCUACGGUGCGCAGCAGUCGAGAAUCAUUCACAAUGGGGGAAACCCUGAUGGUGCGACGCCGCGUGGGGGAAUGAAGGUCUUCGGAUUGUAAACCCCUGUCAUGUGGGAGCAAAUUAAAAAGAUAGUACCACAAGAGGAAGAGACGGCUAACUCUGUGCCAGCAGCCGCGGUAAUACAGAGGUCUCAAGCGUUGUUCGGAAUCACUGGGCGUAAAGCGUGCGUAGGCUGUUUCGUAAGUCGUGUGUGAAAGGCGCGGGCUCAACCCGCGGACGGCACAUGAUACUGCGAGACUAGAGUAAUGGAGGGGGAACCGGAAUUCUCGGUGUAGCAGUGAAAUGCGUAGAUAUCGAGAGGAACACUCGUGGCGAAGGCGGGUUCCUGGACAUUAACUGAUGCUGAGGCACGAAGGCCAGGGGAGCGAAAGGGAUUAGAUACCCUAGUAGUC